UUUAUUUAUGCUGAGCGUUUAAGGGGCUUGUGUGAACUGUCAUCGUCUUCAAUCUUUAUUUUUUGGCCAGUCCACUUUUAAAGAGUUGGGUGUUAAACUAUGAUUCAAUUAAUAAUAUCCACUUUAUAAAAAAAUUAAUCAAUCUCAAGAAAAUUAAUUUUUAGUGAUUUUACUAUAUCAAGUUAAAAUCUCAUGCAAAUAAAGUAUAAAUUUACUAGUUAGAGAAUACAAAUUUUAUCCUAUUUUAGGAGUCACUUAAUUAGUCUCAAAUUAUACAACCACUGUAGUCAUAGAGCGUGGGCUUACAUCGAACAUCAAUACAUCGUGCCAACAGUGGGACACCAUAUGCCCCACUUCUUAAAUGCCCCGAUCUCACUUAAUCCUGGCCCUAGCUCGACGUAGCCCAUAGACCAGAUCAUCACCAGAUGAUCAGAUGGUCAAGCCAGAUGUUUUUGUGUACAACAUUUCACGAAAAUAUCUUUUAUGUACAUGUCCCUGCCCGUGAACAUAUGUAAUCCAGCACCACGUCUCUACACUGAUCUGCUACACUCAGCCUUAGCAAAACCCACCCUCCUGCUGGCAUAUGAUAAAAAAAAUAUUCCUUCAUCUUGUGCAUAUUUAUUUACGACCAGCGAAAGCCAUACAUGCUAAUAAGUUCAAGACACAGAGCUUUUCAGUUCUGCAAUGUCAUCACAAGUUCCCAGAUCAGCUGACAAAAACCAGCCUAUGAUAAAUUCAAACAUUGUUCUCUCACCUAUUCUUGCAUAUGCCUUUUCGCAAUGUUUUAAUAUUAGAUAAAUUCAUGACUGUUCCAUGGUAUUCCCUAAUUACCCUUUUUUUUAAGGGUGAAGGCAUGGAAAUGUUUGAAAUCAUUUUUAUGUUCAUGACUUAUUCUGCCUGGUUUGCUUAAUAAUUCAGUUUGAAUUCCUUUCGCUAUGCUUUUUUUUUUUAUAAAUUAAUUGAGUUCAAAAUGAUUUCUGAGCAGUUGCAAUAUGCUUGUUAUAAUGUCAAUCCUGCCACAUCUUGCUGAUUCAAACAUUGUUCUCUCACCUAUUCUUGCAUAUGCCUUUUCGCAAUGUUUUAAUAUUAGAUAAAUUCAUGACUGUUCCAUGGUAUUCCCUAAUUACCCUUUUUUUUAAGGGUGAAGGCAUGGAAAUGUUUGAAAUCAUUUUUAUGUUCAUGACUUAUUCUGCCUGGUUUGCUUAAUAAUUCAGUUUGAAUUCCUUUCGCUAUGCUUUUUUUUUUUAUAAAUUAAUUGAGUUCAAAAUGAUUUCUGAGCAGUUGCAAUAUGCUUGUUAUAAUGUCAAUCCUGCCACAUCUUGCUGUUUGUAUAUCUCAACGUUGAUUACCAGCAUACUGAAACUAAUGACUCUCUUACCUGCCAGUGAAGUAAAUGCAGGCUUUUUCUACUCAAAUGCAGAGCAAAGAGAGGCAAUGGUUGCAGCUGAAAGGCGCCAGGUUGAUGAGAAAGUCAGAAGGAUUAUUGAACUAAAAAAUAAGGUAGAUGAUGUGAAUGCAUGUUGUGAAUGUACCACUUUUACAAAUUGUAUAUACAGCAUGCAGUUCUAUAUUCUGUUUUUGGAAAUAUUAAAUAUGCAUCGGAUCAUGUGCAGGUUUGUUCAGGUAAUGACAACAACUUUGUUGUUAUCAAUCAGAAGGGUAUUGAUCCCCUGUCGCUAGACCUUCUUGCCAGGGCAGGGGUAAGUUGUGCAUUGUUCAUAACAGUGUGUCCCUCAAGUUUUUGAGAAAUUAUGACUUGGCAACACAUAAAAUUCCUUCUGGUGCUUAAACUGUGCCAUCAUUCGUGUCAAACUAACAGUAAUUCAUAAUGGCUAAAAAGUCCGUAAUUGGACCCAUAAAAUCAAAUAUGCUGCAGAAUAUAUCCAUUGGAAAUGGUUAAGUAGGUACUCUUUUAUCACUAGAAGAAAACGACAUUCAUUAAAGGAGCUUUCUUGGAAUCAAAUGAAAGAAAUUACUAUGGAAUUAAACAUAGAAUUUGAUUGAUCUUGUUGGAGCUUUCUCAAUUCUAACGAUUUCAAUUGCUUCUUAUUCCACCAAUUAUUUAUCUACUAAUUUGCUAAGUCGGUAGCUUUAGUUGUGAAAUACGACUCAUAUUUUAGUUAUUCUGUUACCUGUUUCUGAAUGAAUUUUUAGAUAAUUGCUCUUAGAAGAGCAAAAAGAAGAAAUAUGGAGCGAUUGGUUUUGGCUUGUGGAGGAGAAGCUGUUAACUCUGUCGACGAUUUGACUCCUGGGUGCCUUGGUUGGGCUGGACUCGUUUAUGAGCAUGUCCUUGGAGAAGAGAAGUAUACAUUUGUGGAAAAUGUGAAGAAUCCUCACUCUUGUACCAUUCUGAUUAAAGGUACAUGUUUGUGGAUUUACAUAAUUUAUACAAGCUUACUAUUAUUAUUCUAAUUGAACCACUUAACUAAGCAAUAUAGAAAUAAUAAUUGCUUGUAUGAUGCACACCAUCCUAUUGCAUUAUGUGGCUUAUCUUAUCUUCGUUGCUCACUCUAAAUGAUGUAGGACCUAACGACCAUACAAUUGCCCAAAUUAAGGAUGCUGUGCGUGAUGGGUUGAGGGCAGUAAAAAACACCAUUGAAGAUGAAGCAGUUGUUCUGGUAAGUUCUGUACUUUUUAUGAUUUUCUCUGAAAUCUGGUUCGACAGUUUUCUUGGCUGGAGAUUAUCUAUGAUUCAUUUUUUUUUCCUGUUUUAGUUCAAAUGGUGAAAAAAUGGGUGGCAUUGGGGUGUGUUGUGGGUUUAAAUUUUUCCAAUUUCUUAGCAGAUUAUUAGGAUUUUUGUUUUGUAUAUUUUCUCAAUAGAAGUUCCUAAUUGCUUUUCAGGGGGCAGGAGCUUUUGAAGUUGCUGCCAGGCAAUACCUAGUCAAUGAAGUGAAAAAAACUGUCGAAGGGGUAUGCAGUUGCUAUUUUAUCAUACCUAGGUUAUUAAAUAAAGCAUUUUUUUUUCUUUUGAAAUUUCUGAUGUUUACAAACAUGGAGCAGCGUGCUCAAUUGGGAGUUGAAGCUUUUGCCGAUGCCCUUCUUGUAGUGCCUAAGACACUUGCUGAGAAUGCUGGGCUUGACACUCAAGAUGUGAUCAUUGCCUUGAAGGUUUAUAUCUUCAGCCAUAGUUUUUCAAUCUUUUAACCUUUAUAAAAUUUGGAAAAGAAGAUAAAACUAAUGUGAACAUAUUUUUGCCCUCUGGAUAUUCAGGGUGAGCAUGAUAGGGGAAAUAUUGUGGGAUUAAACCAGCAUUCAGGAGAUCCCAUUGACCCUCAAAUGGAGGGAAUCUUUGACAACUACUCUGUGAAGCGCCAAAUUAUUAACUCAGGGUAUGUGAACUUGUUAUCAAUGUCAAAAUUAAAGUAGGUUUUUGUUGUCGGAGGUUUCAUAUUGACAACCUUUAAAAAGUUUUUAAGUCGUUCAAAAUUUUUAUUUAAUGAGGAGGCUUCUACCCACAUUGUUGGAUCCCCUGGAAUUGUGUAAUUUAGCAACAAAAUGCUACUUUAUAUUGCAGGCCUGUAAUUGCAUCCCAGUUGCUCUUGGUAGAUGAAGUAAUCCGUGCUGGUCGUAAUAUGCGGAAGCCAACUUAGUUCAUUGAUAAGCUACAACAAAUAUAAUUUGUCAUGUGGGGGUUCUUUUACUGCUCGAUUGUGUUAAUGGAUGGCCUUGAACUUAUGGAAUGUGUAAGGAGGUUGUGUUUUGAUGGUUGUGAACUCUCAGGCCGCAAGCCCAUAGAAAACUUGAAAAGGAUGGAAUGACCCCUAUAUUUUGUGUUCAAUUUCAUUAUCUGCGGACCAAUUUUGUUUUUGUAGUGACGGCAGCCAAGUUUUCUAUAUUCAUAUAAUUUUCGUUUUUGGUGUUUGGUGUUCAGUUGUGGCAUCAAUAUCUGGUGAUCUGAUAUGUUCUCUAAUAUUGGAGGACUACUUGUUCUUCAGGCAGAUGUUUUUAUACCAUUGGGCAUUGGCAAUCUUGUUAAGAGACAUCUGUUCCAGUGUAAUGAACAGGAACGUAUUUCUUCGACAUUUUUCUAAGUGUUUCAAGUGUUAUUAACAUGAAUUCUUUUGACGAAUGUAUAUGCUCUUAUGAGGUAUUGUUUAAUAAAAGCAAUCCAUUCUAGUAAUACACAAGGAGCAAGGUAGGGAUGGCAAAAAUUUCUACGGGGACGGUAUCUUUGGGUAUUUUUCUCAUUCGGGGAGGGUAUGAGGAUAAUUUCAUACUCAAUUUUUUAAUCUUCUUGUAGUGCCUAAGACACUUGCUGAGAAUGCUGGGCUUGACACUCAAGAUGUGAUCAUUGCCUUGAAGGUUUAUAUCUUCAGCCAUAGUUUUUCAAUCUUUUAACCUUUAUAAAAUUUGGAAAAGAAGAUAAAACUAAUGUGAACAUAUUUUUGCCCUCUGGAUAUUCAGGGUGAGCAUGAUAGGGGAAAUAUUGUGGGAUUAAACCAGCAUUCAGGAGAUCCCAUUGACCCUCAAAUGGAGGGAAUCUUUGACAACUACUCUGUGAAGCGCCAAAUUAUUAACUCAGGGUAUGUGAACUUGUUAUCAAUGUCAAAAUUAAAGUAGGUUUUUGUUGUCGGAGGUUUCAUAUUGACAACCUUUAAAAAGUUUUUAAGUCGUUCAAAAUUUUUAUUUAAUGAGGAGGCUUCUACCCACAUUGUUGGAUCCCCUGGAAUUGUGUAAUUUAGCAACAAAAUGCUACUUUAUAUUGCAGGCCUGUAAUUGCAUCCCAGUUGCUCUUGGUAGAUGAAGUAAUCCGUGCUGGUCGUAAUAUGCGGAAGCCAACUUAGUUCAUUGAUAAGCUACAACAAAUAUAAUUUGUCAUGUGGGGGUUCUUUUACUGCUCGAUUGUGUUAAUGGAUGGCCUUGAACUUAUGGAAUGUGUAAGGAGGUUGUGUUUUGAUGGUUGUGAACUCUCAGGCCGCAAGCCCAUAGAAAACUUGAAAAGGAUGGAAUGACCCCUAUAUUUUGUGUUCAAUUUCAUUAUCUGCGGACCAAUUUUGUUUUUGUAGUGACGGCAGCCAAGUUUUCUAUAUUCAUAUAAUUUUCGUUUUUGGUGUUUGGUGUUCAGUUGUGGCAUCAAUAUCUGGUGAUCUGAUAUGUUCUCUAAUAUUGGAGGACUACUUGUUCUUCAGGCAGAUGUUUUUAUACCAUUGGGCAUUGGCAAUCUUGUUAAGAGACAUCUGUUCCAGUGUAAUGAACAGGAACGUAUUUCUUCGACAUUUUUCUAAGUGUUUCAAGUGUUAUUAACAUGAAUUCUUUUGACGAAUGUAUAUGCUCUUAUGAGGUAUUGUUUAAUAAAAGCAAUCCAUUCUAGUAAUACACAAGGAGCAAGGUAGGGAUGGCAAAAAUUUCUACGGGGACGGUAUCUUUGGGUAUUUUUCUCAUUCGGGGAGGGUAUGAGGAUAAUUUCAUACUCAAUUUUUUAAUCGGGGAAGGGACGGAGAAAUUUUUUUACCCAAUUUUUUAUUCGGGGAGGGGACGGGGAUGAGGUGGAAUCCCUAUCUCCUACUUAUUUCCCAAUUUGCUUCGACUUAACUAUUGUGUUGUAAAGGGAAUAGUCUACAUUUAUAAAGUGCCCACGCCACCAUUAAAAAGUUAAUUUUGAAUCUAAAUUUGAUUUUAUUUGUAAUAAUUUUGUAUUAGACUAUUAAUUUGUUCAUGAUAAUUUGUAUCCCUUGCAUGCUGCGUUAUUUACUAAUUUAAUGUAUGUGACUUUUGUAAUGGAUAUUAAUGUAAGAUAUAUUUCGAACUUUAUUUUUAUUUAAUUUUUUUUUAUUUUAAUAUGAUUAACUCAAAAUUGAAAAAAAAUGUAUUAAUUAUUCGGGGAUCCCCUAUUAUUAUUCGGGGAGAGGAUGAAGAUUCUCUUAAAUAAUUUUGACGGGAAUAGAAAAGAGACGGAGACAUACGUAAAAUAUCGGGGAUGGAUACGGGGAGAUUGGUCCCCUCCCCUCCCCAUUGCCAUCCCUAGAGCAAGGUAUAGAUGUGAGUCGUCAGUUAAUCGCGGCGUAAAAAACUUGGGAAAAUUGUAAAAAGAUGAUUUGUAAAUUGCGUCUUGGUCGAAGUUUUAAGUUUAAAAGAAGGAUUUUGCAACUUUCUAUUAAGGAAAGUGAAAAGAUAAUAGCAUGUUUUUCAUUGCUAGCAUUGACUCUUCUAAUACAAUAAUCCUUGUUUUCAACCGGUCGAUGUUGACAUUCUGAAUGGACAGGCUGAAGUUCUAAAAACAAGGGGAAAAAACAAAAUUAAGAUCAAGAAUAGUUCAACAAAUUUCACAAAGUAGAUAAUCUUCAUCCCCAAUAACUGUUGAAAAUGCUUCAUUAAGCAGAAAUAGGAACAUGUAACCCAGAAAAUGUGUGAAGACAGCAUGGCAAAGUGCACGAAACCAGAAAUAACAUCUGCUGGCCCACUGGUCGAGUGCAGACACUCGAUGCAUAGACAUAAGAUACAUAGAUGCUCCGCUGUGGAUCGACUGAAAAGUAGUGGUUAGACUCUUGCAGCCUCUUUUCCAUCCUGCUGAAGCAUGUAUUCUUUCUUCAUUUCUUCCAGGACAGCAUCAUUUGUGCUUCAGAAAACAAAAUUGAAACAUUAUUAAUAUUUCCACAUCACGAAGGUAAACUAGUGUAUUUCUCUCACAAUAUUCAACCUUAGCCCAGGUGAUGAUCUUUAACAUAAAUGUGAACUAGCAGUGAGAAUUGCAAAUACUCCAUAAAAUCAUAUGCGGCUCUUCUAAAUUCCAAUUUCCUCAAAAAAGAUUGCUAAGUGAUAAAAAGAUGCAGCAUUACGAACCAGCAUAACCACUUUGGAAACCAUGCUAGACUUGUUUUUCCUGGCACUAACCUUACAUAGUAUCAAUGUUUAUGAUGAAACACAUGAAGAUCCAACUAUAAAACCUACAAUAAUUUAUCAUUAAAUUAAAAAUCUCUAGCUGAUUUGAGUUAUUAGGAUACAAUGUUGUUAUAAGUGAGCUAAAGAGACGCAGAUUGUGGAGAUUACCGUAAUGGAUCAAUAAAAUAAUAUCCCAAAUCAUUUUCCCAAUCAACAGCAUAACCUGGACUAGAGAAAUUCUUUGUUGCGUAUCAAUUUAUACCAAUAGGGCAGGACAACCACACCACCAGAUCUUCAUAUGAACACUUCAAUAACCUAAUAACAAUGGGCCAUUGCCCCACUGCCCUAUUUAACAUUAUGAGUCAUCAUCUGAUACAUAAAAAGAGUUGAACUUCUAGUCCACAGCAAUCACUUUUAUGGAAAGAUUUUAAACUAAGUUUUGGGAAUGAUUCAAAGCAGCACUUAGGCGCUAAACCAUUGUCUUCAAAAACACCUGAAACCGAUCAAAUACUUUCCCAUAAAGCACUGCAAGUGAAUUGUUUAUCCAAACAGCAAGUUUCGAAAAAAGUUACCCAUCUGAUAAUAUAUAAUUCGGAAAAAUUACUUUUGUUUAUUACAGGUAAAUACUAAAAACACACAAAAACAAAAAAUUUUGACAAUGUGGUAAGCAAUACUAAACUUGCCCUAAGGCAGCUACUGUUCAUUCAAACAUUCCUUUUAAUUUGAAAUUACACAGAUAGCUGGGACGCAAUGCAACUUACUAUUGGUGAAGGCAAUUGUUUAGUUCUUUAGCUUGUUCGCGACACUUCCACACAACUGAAAACGUUCUUCCGGAAGCACAUUGAGCAUACUUGGAAGUGUACUGAUCGCACUCUUUUAACGCCUUUUGCUUCAUUUUACUCCGUAAAGCUAACAUAUAAAUAAAAUAAACGCAACCCGUUAUUUUUUUUUUAAGCAUCAAACUGGAAAAAAAAAUAAGGAAAAAAAUAUUCACAUUAAACUUAUCACCAAAAAUGGGAUUUAUUAGGGUUUUAGUAAUGGUAAUAUAAUUCAUUAGGGUUUCAGUAAUGGUAAUAUAAUCAACAUUAAUAAUACCUUCUUCGACUUUCUUCUUCACGUGAUUCUCACGUGCCUCCUGAACGUAUCCCAUUAGUGAUUUUGUUUGUUGUUAGUUUGCGGAGACGAAAAAGCCGUUGUGAACUGGGAAGAGAGGCGUCAGGCGGGUGUCUGGCUUUGAGGAGGAAGACGAUGUGUGAAGGUCCCAUCUGCCACUUCUGUCACCCGCGGCAAGACACUACCCUUUGUGUGCUUGGGCUUUUCAUGGGCCUCACUCAGGAACAUAGCUUGGGUCCAAGAUCAACAUCAAAGGAAUCAUGCUAAAUAGCCCCUCCAAAUUACUUUAAGAACCCUCUCUUCUCAGCAACAAGACCAUUUAUUUUCUGCAGCUUUUUAACAAAUAAAAUUAAAAUUUGAAAUAAAAGAAUCUCAAAUUUGACUCCAAUGGUGAAUUUAGCCCGAGUUGCCAAUGUAGGAAAACACAUACGUUUAUGCCAUGUCUAUUCAAUGCAACUUUUUUCAUAGUUUUCAAAAGUCAUCACCACAAGUAAUAAUAUUCUUUCUAUAGGAACAAGACUUUUUCUUUUAUUAAUUUUACGUAUUUUUUUUUUUUUUGGAAAUGCUUUUUAUGAGAAUUAAGAAGACUUUGUUCAAAAGCUGACAGUAAUGAGUGAUCAUUUCAAACUUGUUAUAAUGGCUAACUUUAAUAGUUUUAAUUAUUCAUUUAUGAUGGGCCCACAGUGACAAAUUUUCCUUUGGUUUUUGCAGUUUUUUUUCCUCCUUUUUUGGUAUCAAGAUAUUCAAGUAAUUAGUUUAUCAAAUAAAAUAAACUAAAAUUAUAAAUUAUUUAGUUUAUAUUUUUUUACUGAUCAAAUUAUCUCUUAGAAAUAAUAAUCACGAGAUACAUUUGCAAUGAAUAUAUAAUAGCAAGAAUUAACAUUUUUUAAAUACAGAAGUAACAACGACAAUCUUUGGUUUAAGAAAGUCCAUAAAUAUAUGUUUAAUUUUUUAUUGCAUAUUAGUAACUUGUUGUCGAAGGGAAAUAAAAUUAAAAAUUCAAAGAAAAAACUGUAGAUCUUGUGAGGCUCGUUGGUAACUGUAGAGAACAAAAACACAAAAGUAGGCCCCCAAAGUAGAAACAACAAUUACGGUUUCAAUGCUAAAUUGUGUGUGGGUGUGUGUGGAGUUGACGGUCAACGCCAGCGUGGCUGUCGUCCAAGGCAUUAAACUUUCGCGGAAUCCCAACAGCUGUCGCCUUCUCAUUGGACCUCCUCUUCUCUUCGCACUCCCACGUCCCCACCCCCACCAUUAAUUUUGUUUAUUUAUUUAAGCAGCCCCCACCCCCGCUACGCUCUCACUU
This 9235-nucleotide long non-coding RNA is filed under the name Citrus sinensis (sweet orange). RNAcentral describes it as "long non-coding RNA (CSIN_LNC002733)". The record is from RNAcentral. Lineage: Eukaryota; Viridiplantae; Streptophyta; Magnoliopsida; Sapindales; Rutaceae.